Long non-coding RNA from Asparagus officinalis (garden asparagus), 802 nucleotides. RefSeq lists it as uncharacterized. Lineage: Eukaryota; Viridiplantae; Streptophyta; Magnoliopsida; Asparagales; Asparagaceae. The transcript has 3 exons. The record is from RefSeq and is a predicted model, not a curated record.
CCGUUUUUUUAGCAGGACCGAGCGUACCUUAAGGAUCAGAUUCAGCAGCAGUGUUACCUUCGGUCCUAUCACUCUCUCAGCUUCAGUUUAUUUAGGUUGAUCAAGAAGAGUGAAUGUGACUGUAUGGAUACAUUGUCGGCCAAGUCACGUCCCAAACUAUCACGUUUUGGAAACCGGGGCGUGACAAAGUUUUUAGCGGUAUCAGAGCCAGGACCGAGCGUACCUUGAGGAUCUGAUUCAGCAGCAGUGUUACUUUCGGUCCUAUCACUCUCUCAGCUUUAGUUUAUUUAGGUAGUUAUUUUUUUAGACUUUUCCCGUAAUCACCUGUGAUUUUCCAGACUACGAUGUAUUUUCCCCAUUCCCAUUUUGGAUAGUUGUGGACUUGUCAUAGAACUUUGUAAUUGCAGAGAUUUCUUUACCUAUCUAUUUUUCUUGUUGUUUUAGUUAUAUGCUCUAUGUAGUAGUUCUUAGUAAUAUAUUUGUGUUCCGGUUGAUCCAGAGGCGUGAAUGUGACUGUAUGGUUACAUUGACGACCAAGUCACGUCCCAAACUAUCAUAUUUUGGAAACCGGGGCGUGACAAUUAUUUUAUCAUAGAGAAUCACAUAUAUUGUAUUCAUGCUCCCAUGUUAUUUACCCGAGAGUGGGUAUAAGAUUGAGGUUGUCAUACAUGAUAUUUCUAUACGAGCUUCAUUUUACCGGAUGAUUAUUCUUGUAAUUGUGCCACCUACCUAAGGGUAGUGUGAGAUAUUUGUACAUGACAUGUAUUGGAUGAGGUUUGGAAAUUGUAUUGCUUUUAUUUAC